This 227-nucleotide ribosomal RNA is filed under the name uncultured bacterium. RNAcentral's name for it is "partial 16S ribosomal RNA". It matches the Rfam family "Bacterial small subunit ribosomal RNA", at positions 109 to 334 of the family's 1533-position model. The record is from RNAcentral.
AGUAACGCGUGAGGAACCUGCCUCAAAGAGGGGGACAACAGUUGGAAACGACUGCUAAUACCGCAUAAGCCCACGGCUCGGCAUCGAGCAGAGGGAAAAGGAGUGAUCCGCUUUGAGAUGGCCUCGCGUCCGAUUAGCUAGUUGGUGAGGUAACGGCCCACCAAGGCGACGAUCGGUAGCCGGACUGAGAGGUUGAUCGGCCACAUUGGGACUGAGACACGGCCCAG